RNAcentral lists this ribosomal RNA (253 nucleotides) under uncultured bacterium. RNAcentral describes it as "partial 16S ribosomal RNA". It matches the Rfam family "Bacterial small subunit ribosomal RNA", at positions 524 to 776 of the family's 1533-position model. The record is from RNAcentral.
UACGUAGGGGGCUAGCGUUGUCCGGAUUUAUUGGGCGUAAAGAGCGUGUAGGCGGCCAGGUAGGUCUGAUGUGAAAACUCGAGGCUUAACCUCGAGAUGUCAUCGGAAACCAUCUGGCUAGAGUCCGGAAGAGGAGAGUGGAAUUCCUGGUGUAGCGGUGAAAUGCGCAGAUAUCAGGAAGAACACCAAUGGCGAAAGCAGCUCUCUGGGACGGUACUGACGCUGAGACGCGAAAGCGUGGGGAGCGAACAGG